GAUGAACGCUGGCGGCGUGCCUAAUACAUGCAAGUCGAGCGAACGGACGAGAAGCUUGCUUCUCUGAUGUUAGCGGCGGACGGGUGAGUAACACGUGGAUAACCUACCUAUAAGACUGGGAUAACUUCGGGAAACCGGAGCUAAUACCGGAUAAUAUUUUGAACCGCAUGGUUCAAAAGUGAAAGACGGUCUUGCUGUCACUUAUAGAUGGAUCCGCGCUGCAUUAGCUAGUUGGUAAGGUAACGGCUUACCAAGGCAACGAUGCAUAGCCGACCUGAGAGGGUGAUCGGCCACACUGGAACUGAGACACGGUCCAGACUCCUACGGGAGGCAGCAGUAGGGAAUCUUCCGAAAUGGGCGAAAGCCUGACGGUGCAACGCCGCGUGAGUGAUGGAGGUCUUCGGAUCGUAAAACUCUGUUAUUAGGGAAGAACAUAUGUGUAAGUAACUGUGCACAUCUUGACGGUACCUAAUCUGAAAGCCACGGCUAACUACGUG
This 497-nucleotide ribosomal RNA is filed under the name uncultured bacterium. Its description in RNAcentral is "partial 16S ribosomal RNA". It matches the Rfam family "Bacterial small subunit ribosomal RNA", at positions 28 to 507 of the family's 1533-position model. The record is from RNAcentral.